AAAUGACACAGACAUUAACAACUAUAGGUCACCGUACGGCCUUCAACAAUGAGCAAAGCCCAUACCGCAAAGUCAGCUAUAAAAGAUAUGACAAUGUAAAAUAAUUCAAACGAGAAAACUAACGGCCUUAUUUGUAUAAAAAAAAAUGAACGAAAAACAAAUAUGUAACACCUAAACAAACGACAACCAUUGAAUUACAGGCUCCUGACUUUGGACAGGCACAUACAUAAAUAAUGUGGCGGGGUAAGACAUGUUAGCGGGAUACCAACCCUCCCCCUAACCUGAGACAGUGGUAUAACAGUACAACAUAAGAACGAACUAUAAAAAUCAAUGGAAAAGGC
This 341-nucleotide long non-coding RNA is filed under the name Mytilus galloprovincialis (Mediterranean mussel). Lineage: Eukaryota; Metazoa; Mollusca; Bivalvia; Mytilida; Mytilidae. The record is from RNAcentral.